RNA transcript from Lotus japonicus, 4268 nucleotides. RefSeq lists it as uncharacterized. The transcript has 8 exons. Lineage: Eukaryota; Viridiplantae; Streptophyta; Magnoliopsida; Fabales; Fabaceae. The record is from RefSeq and is a predicted model, not a curated record.
AGUGUGUAUUUAAUUUAAUUUAUCUGCAGCUGGGAAUUCAAUUUGUUACCGUUGAAGUGUUUGAUCGCAAACUCCUAUAAAUCAAUUUCAUUUCACAAGCAAUUUAUGAAGUUUGAAGUAACUAGUCUCCUCUCUCUGUCACCCUGUGUUUUCUCUCCGAAACGAUCUCGGCUCGCCACCGUAGAGGAGCAAUUCACCACCGCAUUCAUCUUCGUCAUCCGGCAUACUGCCCCUCUCUCCGGCGUCCGUCCGUCGUCUUGCAAAGAGAAGAGAGAGCCCGGAGCUAGAACCAUUUCUUUGGUUUGUCGCAGAAAAUCUUGUGCGUUCCGAAUUUCUAUCGCACUCAUGCUCUUCUGCCCAAGAUUCGUUCAUCGGAGAAACCAAAGGCCCGUGAUCUCCAUUCCGCGUUCAAAUGUUUGGUCCGCACACGGCAACGGUGGAAGAAGGCGCGAGUCGCGUGACCAACGGUGGAAAAACGCACCGGCUGCUGAUGGUCAGCAUCUGAUUCUUCAUCCUCUGAACAUGAAGUGUCUACUUCACCAUUAUGGGAGCUAUGAUACGCUUCCUCACAGAAUAAGUGGAAGGAUUCUGCAAUUGGAGACAGUUACACAGUCUGAGGCUAUGAGGAGGCGUUAUCGAUUCCUGAGUCAUUUUCCAUUAACCACAACAUUUUAGCUUUCUGAAAUUGAUUUGAGUGAGAUAUUGCCUCCUGAAGCACUGGCCCUAUUUAUGGAUGAAAUAAAUAAGCGCUCUAAUCUGAGGAAACAACUUGUAAAGAAGUGAGAUGUCUGAAGUUUAUAGACCUUCCCAUUGAGAUGCUACAUAGGGCAUGAAGUAUCGUGUCACUUGUCAGAUCAGUUCAGAUUCCUGCCUAUGUCUCUCAAGUUCACAAGGUAGUAGUUCUUCCUGACGAACUAAUUGAUCAUGGCAAACUGACCCUUGAUCAGAAAUGACAUUGUCAUUGUUAUUUCGAAGGGUUUUGGUUCUCCUGUUUGACAAACUUGAAGCUGAGCUGGCUAAAGCUGUUAUGUCACACCUGCAACUAAGGGCUUUCAAUUUGGUAGUGGGUUUGUAGGUAUUUAAUAUUGCUCAUAUAUAUCACUUAUGUGGGUGCUUUUGUCUGAUUAUUUAAACUUACAUAUAUGACUCUUUUUUUAUGGUUCCUCACAUAUAGGACUUUGAAUGCCUUUGUCUUAUUAGUUUGAUCUGACUAAGCAGGGGUCAAACUUGAUGUAUAUCCACUUAUUUGCUUUUUUUUCUUUCUAAUUUUUCGUUCUUAUUUUCACUUUUUCCAUUUGUAUUGCUGCAUGUUUUAGUUCAUUUGUAUUACAAUUUUUCCAGUGUCCUUUUUCUUUUAUAGAUUGUAUUAGGUUUUGAGUAGUAAUUUUUCUUUUUCUCUCUUGUUAGACUUCGGACUUUCUUUUUUGGAUCCUUUGGUUGAUCUUUAUUGUUUGUUUUCUUUGUUUGUAUGGGUGAGUUGAGACAUUGAACACUAUUAUAAUAUGAUCCUCCCGACAUUCUUGCUUUGGUUGCUUUAUAGCUAUUUUCUCGCCUAAUAUAUCUUCAAAAUCUCUGGGUGAGUAGAGACAUUGUCUGAUUAUUUAAACUUUUAUAUAUGACUCUUUUUUAUGGUUCCUCACAUAUAUGACUUUGAAUGCCUCUGUCUUAUUAGUUUGAUCUAAUUAAACAGGGGUCAAACUUGAUGUAUAUCCACUUAUAUGCUUCUUUUUUUCUUUCUAAUUUUCACCUUUUCCAUUUGUACUACUAUUACUGCAUGUUGUUUUAGUUCAUUUGUAUUACAAUUUUUUCAGUGUCUUUUUUCUUUUGUAGAUUGUAUUUAGGAACAAAGCCUUGUAAUUUUAGAUCAUUUGUCUUAGGUUGAGUUGUAAUUUAUCUUUUUCUCUCUUGUUAGACUUUGGACUUCCUUUUUUGGAUCAUUUGGUUGAUCUUUAUUGUUUGUUUUCUUUGUUUGUGUGGGUGAGUAGAGACAUUGGACACUAUUAUAAAUAAGAUCCUUUAGAGUGAUCUUCUCGGCAUUCUUGCUUUGGUUGCUUUAUAGCUAUUUUCUCGCCUAGUAUAUCUUCAAAAUCUGGGUGAGUAGAGACAUUGUCUGAUUAUUUAAACUUACAUAUAUGACUCUUUUUUUUAUGGUUCCUGACUUUGAAUGCCUUUAUCUUAUUAGUUUGAUCUAACUAAACAUGGACAUAUCCACUUUUUUUCUUCUUUUUUUCUUUCUAAUUUUUACCUUUUCCAUUUGUAUUGCUGCAUGUUUUAGUUCAUUUGUAUUACAAUUUUUCUAGUGUCCUUUUUAUUUUGUAGAUUGUAUUUAGGAACAAAGCCUUGUAAUUUUAGAUCAUUUGUCUUAGGUUUUGAGUUGUAAUUUUUCUUUUUCUGUUAGACUUUGGACUUUCUUUUUUGGAUCUUUUGGUUGAUCUUUAUUGUUUGUUUCUUUUGUUUGUGUGGGUGAUUAGAGACAUUUGACACUAUUAUAAAUAAGAUCCUUUAGAGUGAUCCUCCCGGCAUUCUUGCAUUGGUUGCUUUAUAGCUAUUUUCUUGCCUAGUAUAUCUUCAUGAUGGCCGAUGCUUUUUUUACCGUUACUCAUAUAUGACUUUUAAUGUCUUUGGCUUACGUGUAUCCACUUUUUUUUUGUUUAAUUUUUCUUUCUUAUAUAAGAUUUUUCACCCAUUAGGAUGUCAGUUUUUUCACAUAUUAGGAUUCAAAUGUCCUUUUUUCAUUUAUAGAUUGCACUACUGACCAAAGUAAUUUUUAGAUUAUUUUUUAGGUUUUGAGUUUUAAUAUUUCUUUUCCUCUUGUUAGACUUUGGACUUUUUUUUUGAGAUCCUUUGAUUGAUCCUUGUUUGCAAGUAGGUGAGUCGAGACAUUGGACGCUAUUAGAAAUAGGAUGCUUUGAAGUGAUCAUUUAGGGUGCUUGCUUUCAUUGCUUUAUAAAUGGUUUCUCGCCUAGUAUAUUUUCAUGAUGGUCGAUUUUCUGAGUGAUUAUGUCUUGUUAUUUAAACAAACAUAUAUGACUCUUUUUUACAGUUGCUCAUAUAUGACUCUGAAUACCAUUGUCUUAUUAUUUUGAUCUGACUAAAGAGGGAUCAAACUUGAUGUAUAUCCCCUUAUUUUCUUUUUCGUUUAUGUCUAAUUUUUCUUUCUUAUUGCUUGUUUUAGUAUAUUUGUAUUAGGAUUUUUCCGGUAUCCUUUUUCUUUUAAUAUUUGUCUUAAGUUUUUAGUUGUAAUUUUUCUCUAACUAUACUUUUUUUUGGAUCCUUUGGUUGAUACUUAUUGUUUGUUUGUGUGCGUGAAUAGAGACAUUUGACACUACUAGAAAUAGGAUCCCUUGGAGUGAUUCUCUAAAAGUGCUUGCUUUGACUGUUAUAUCUUCAUGAUUGUCGAUGCUAUAAGUGUCUUUCUCUUAUUAUUUAAACUUGUGUAUAUGACGUUUUUUAUGACUCAUAAUGCCUUUGGCUUAUUAAAUGGUGGAUCAAACUGAAUGUAUAUCCACUUAUUUAGUUUUUUUUUGUCUUAUUUUCACCUUUUUCCAUAUCCACUUAUUUAAUUUUUUUUUGUCUUAUUUUCACCUUUUUCCCUACAUCUGUAUUAGGAUUUUCCAUUGACCUUUUUCUUUUAUAAAUCUUAUAUAGCCUUGUAAUUUUCAAAUCACUUGUCUCAGGUUUUGAGUUGUAAUAUUAGACUUUGGAGUUUUGCAUCCUUUGGUUCAUCCUUAUUGUCUGUAUGUGUGAGUGAAUAAAGACAUUAAACACUUGUAUCUUAUUAUUUAAAAUUGCAUAUAUAUGCUCUAAAUAGCUUUAUCUUAUUAUUUUGAUCCGGAUAAACUAGGAUCAAACUUGAUGUGUAUCCACACUUAUUUGUGUUUUUUUUUCUCUAAUUUUUCUAUCUUAUUUUCACCUUUAAGUUUGUAUCGGUUGUUACAUUUGUACUAGGAUUUUUCCAAUGUACUUUUCUUUUAUAGAUUGUAUUUAGGACCAAAGCCUUGUAAUAUGUCAUUGUCUUAGGGUCUAAGUUUUAAUUUUUCUUUUUCUCUCUUGUUAGACUUUGGACAUUUUUGGGGGUCCUUUUGUUGAUCUUAUUAUUUGUUUGUGUGGGUGAGCAGAGACAUUGGACACUAGAAAGAGACAUUGGUCCUUUGGAAUGAUCUCUUGGGGUACUUGUUUUGAUUGCUUUUUCGCCUAGUAUAUUUUUAUGAUGGUCUUGUAUGAGUGCUUUGUCUUAUUUAAACUGGAAUAUAUGACUUAUUUGUUCA